RNAcentral lists this ribosomal RNA (467 nucleotides) under uncultured bacterium. RNAcentral describes it as "bacterial SSU rRNA". It matches the Rfam family "Bacterial small subunit ribosomal RNA", at positions 355 to 825 of the family's 1533-position model. The record is from RNAcentral.
UAGGGAAUAUUGGACAAUGGGUGAGAGCCUGAUCCAGCCAUGCCGCGUGCAGGAAGAAGGCCUUCUGGGUUGUAAACUGCUUUUUGCCGGGGGAUAAAAGGCCCCUGCGGGGGACAUUGAAGGUACCCGGUGAAUAAGCCACGGCUAACUACGUGCCAGCAGCCGCGGUAAUACGUAGGUGGCAAGCGUUGUCCGGAUUUAUUGGGUUUAAAGGGUGCGUAGGCGGCCCCGUAAGUCAGUGGUGAAAUACGGCAGCUCAACUGUCGAGGUGCCAUUGAUACUGCGGGGCUUGAGUAUGGACGAGGUAAGCGGAAUUGACGGUGUAGCGGUGAAAUGCUUAGAUAUCGUCAAGAACACCGAUAGCGAAGGCAGCUUACUAGGCCAUAACUGACGCUGAGGCACGAAGGUGCGGGGAUCAAACAGGAUUAGAUACCCUUGUAGUCCCUGAGCGGGCUGGCAAGGCGCAU